AUCCAGCUGAAGAUGUCCAAAUGGGACGAAACGCGCUUCCUGGAU
RNAcentral lists this non-coding RNA (45 nucleotides) under Schistosoma mansoni. The record is from RNAcentral. Lineage: Eukaryota; Metazoa; Platyhelminthes; Trematoda; Strigeidida; Schistosomatidae.